UCGGGCCGCACAACCCAUCAAUACACCUCCGUCCGCUGCCACCGUCUGCCCUUGUGUCUGUCGUUUCGCGAAUAGUCACGUACUAAUGAUGCAGCUAAUGCCCCAGCCACCACUCACCGUGACAACCACCAGGGACUGACGCCGCUGGUUUGAUCCACCUUCUAUCCCACCGUCCGCUGCUACCACUAUUGUCCGCUGGUC
This 201-nucleotide long non-coding RNA is filed under the name Helianthus annuus (common sunflower). RNAcentral describes it as "sRNA HanXRQr2_Chr11g0491151". Lineage: Eukaryota; Viridiplantae; Streptophyta; Magnoliopsida; Asterales; Asteraceae. The record is from RNAcentral.